CGGACGGGUGAGUAACGCGUGAGAAUCUGCCCUCAGGAGGGGGAUAACAGUUGGAAACGACUGCUAAUACCCCAUAUGCCGAGAGGUGAAACGAAUUUCGCCUGGGGAUGAGCUCGCGUCUGAUUAGCUUGUUGGUGGGGUAAUGGCUUACCAAGGCUUCGAUCAGUAGCUGGUCUGAGAGGACGAUCAGCCACACUGGGACUGAGACACGGCCCAGACUCCUACGGGAGGCAGCAGUGGGGAAUUUUCCGCAAUGGGUGCAAGCCUGACGGAGCAACGCCGCGUGAGGGAUGGAGGCCUUUGGGCUGUAAACCUCUUUUCUCAAGGAAGAAGAUCUGACGGUACUUGAGGAAUAAGCCACGGCUAAUUCCGUGCCAGCAGCCGCGGUAAUACGGGAGUGGCAAGCGUUAUCCGGAAUUAUUGGGCGUAAAGCGUCCGCAGGCGGCCGUUUAAGUCUGUUGUUAAAUCGUGGAGCUCAACUCCAUCACGGCAAUGGAAACUGUUCGGCUUGAGUAUGGUAGAGGCAGAGGGAAUUUCCGGUGUAGCGGUGAAAUGCGUAGAUAUCGGGAAGAACACCAGUGGCAAAAGCGCUCUGCUGGGCCAUUACUGACGCUCAUGGACGAAAGCCAGGGGAGCGAAAGGGAUUAGAUACCCCAGUAGUC
This 662-nucleotide ribosomal RNA is filed under the name uncultured cyanobacterium. RNAcentral's name for it is "bacterial SSU rRNA". It matches the Rfam family "Bacterial small subunit ribosomal RNA", at positions 99 to 795 of the family's 1533-position model. The record is from RNAcentral. Lineage: Bacteria; Bacillati; Cyanobacteriota.